This 227-nucleotide transfer-messenger RNA is filed under the name Bacteroidales bacterium. RNAcentral describes it as "partial transfer-messenger RNA". It matches the Rfam family "transfer-messenger RNA", at positions 1 to 191 of the family's 374-position model. From Rfam's summary of the family: Bacterial tmRNA, also known as 10Sa RNA or SsrA, is named for its dual tRNA and mRNA-like properties. Its role is to liberate the mRNA from a stalled ribosome. To accomplish this part of the tmRNA is used as a reading frame that ends in a translation stop signal. The record is from RNAcentral. Lineage: Bacteria; Pseudomonadati; Bacteroidota; Bacteroidia; Bacteroidales.
GGGGAUGUUUUGGUUUUGACAGCAUUGACUUUGGACAGUAAGCACGCCGGGCGCUGUGGGCCUGCCCGUAAAUCUCGACUCUCAAAAAUUCAGUUGGCAACAACAACUAUGCACUCUCUGCCUAAUUGACCAAGUCAUUUAGCUUAAUCCGCGUCGCCAAGGCUGCGACGCCGACGAGUAUCCCUCGGACUUUAGGCCGGUUAUGUUCCGAUCCAGGGGUAUCAUUC